This 353-nucleotide long non-coding RNA is filed under the name Vigna radiata. RNAcentral's name for it is "long non-coding RNA (VRAD_LNC002617)". Lineage: Eukaryota; Viridiplantae; Streptophyta; Magnoliopsida; Fabales; Fabaceae. The record is from RNAcentral.
AGAUCAUUUAUAGAAGAAAUUGAUCAAAUAUCUUAAUUUAAAAGAUUUUAAAAAUUAAGAACCCUUAUUAGAUCAAUUAUAAAAAGAACAAUUAUAAUAGUUAUCUUUUUUUUAAUUCCCACAUUGAGCUCUAUCUUGUCUCUUUGAGAGAACCAAAAACUCUUGCACAUCUUCUUUCUUUAUCUUAUUUAUUCUCUCUUUCCACAUUAUGCUUCAUCUUCUCUCUUCAUUACUAGUAUCCUCAUUGCACUCUUGAACCCACCCACACUGAAUUUAAAAAUUGUUGCACUCAAAUGUCGGUGGGAUUUCCCUACUCACCCUUAUCUCGCUCACAUCGACAUUCAUGUCUUUGG